GAAAUGCGAUAAGUAAUGUGAAUUGCAGAAUUCCGUGAAUCAUCGAAUCUUUGAACGCACAUUGCGCCCUCUGGCAUUCCGGGGGGCAUGCCUGUCCGAGCGUCAUUACGCACCCUCAAGCCCGGCUUGUGUGAUGGGCCCCGCCGUCUCGUUCGCGAGACGGGCCCGAAAGGCAGCGGCGGGCUCGCUGUCACACCGGGCGUAGUAGAUUUUUCGUCUCGCCCAGGGCGUGCUGCGGGUUCCGGCCGUUAAAAAGCCUCUCUUUUAACCCAAGGUUGACCUCGGAUCAGGUAGGAAGACCCGCUGAACUUAAGC
Molecule: unclassified non-coding RNA, 315 nt
Filed under: plant metagenome
Description: partial contains 5.8S ribosomal RNA, internal transcribed spacer 2, and large subunit ribosomal RNA
Rfam family: 5.8S ribosomal RNA (bases 1-105)
Source: RNAcentral